RNAcentral lists this transfer RNA (76 nucleotides) under Ovis aries (sheep). It matches the Rfam family "tRNA". From Rfam's summary of the family: Transfer RNA (tRNA) molecules are approximately 80 nucleotides in length. The record is from Rfam by way of RNAcentral. Lineage: Eukaryota; Metazoa; Chordata; Mammalia; Artiodactyla; Bovidae.
UCCUGGAUGGUCUGACAGUGGAUGGGAAUCUGCCUGCCAAUGCAGGAGGACACGGGUUCAAGCCCUGUUCCAGGAA